GUUCAACCCAUGUAAAAUUUAAAAUCAGCCAGUGUGGUAUAAGCCUAGUUGCAAUAAAAUGAGCAAAUGACCCAACUUUAAUUUUUUGGCCCAAACAAAACAUAAAUUUUAUUAUCCAUGUGUUUCCAAACCUAAACCCAAACCCAAACCCAAACCAAACCUAAUUCUAAUCCAAUAUUAAUCCCUUGACAACCAACAGGUCCAGGUUAGAAAUCAAAAUCAAAAUCAAAAUCAAACGGACCUUCCUCUCUCUCAGUCUCUCCAUUCUCGAAGAGACGAAGACUCUUAGACUCCAACCUAUUUUUAAAAUUUUCAAUCAAAAAUUUCUAUAAAUUUAAGGAAUCCAUUACCCACAUCAAAAAUUUCAUCUCUUAAAAGUGUAUUUUAGCAGGACAAAACAACGGCUUUUGAAUUGGUAAUUGCCAUUUCAAUUCUUUCAAAGUGUAGAAGCUGUUACCUGUAGUUAGUGCCGCAAAGCAGCAGAGGAAAACAAGGACGAAGCCCAGGCUACAGCCCGUGUUCGCGCAAGCCCAGAUCCAUCAGUCCAUAGUUUUUUUUUUUUUUUUUUGGGUUGAACCCAUGUAAAAUUUAAAAAUAGCCUAUGUGGUGUAAGCCUAGUUGCAAGAAAAUGAGCCCAACUUUAAUUUUUUGGCCCAAACAAAACAUAAAUUUUAUUAUCUAUGUAACCCAAAACCAAACCCACCCCCAAACCCAAACCCAAACCAAACCUAAUUCUAACCAACAGGUCCAGGUUAGAAAACAAAAUCAAACGGACCUUCUUCUCUCUCAGUCUCUCCAUUCUCGAAGAGACGAAGACUCUUAGACUCCAACCUAUUUUUCAAAUUUUCAAUCAAAAAUUUCUAUAAAAUUAAGGAACCCAUUACCCAAUCAAAGAUUUCAUUUUUAGCGGGACAAGACAACGGAUUUUGAAUUGGUAAGUGCCAUUUCGAUUCUUUCGAAGUGUAGAAACUGCUACCUGUAGUCGGUGCCGCGAAGCAGUAGAGGAAAAUCGUGCUCACUGCUCAGCCCCAAAUACCUUCUCUUCUUCUCGACUUCUCCAUUUCUCUCUCUCUCUCUCUCUCUCUCGCGUAGGAGACAGAAACCAGUGGCGCAAGCGGGGAGCCGGAAAAAAGGGGCCGAAGAGCCUUUUAUUUUAUAUAGGCAUAGGGUAUGGG
This 1175-nucleotide long non-coding RNA is filed under the name Olea europaea subsp. europaea. Lineage: Eukaryota; Viridiplantae; Streptophyta; Magnoliopsida; Lamiales; Oleaceae. The record is from RNAcentral.